This 75-nucleotide transfer RNA is filed under the name Dactylosporangium vinaceum subsp. matsuzakiense. RNAcentral's name for it is "Dactylosporangium matsuzakiense tRNA". It matches the Rfam family "tRNA". Rfam says of the family: Transfer RNA (tRNA) molecules are approximately 80 nucleotides in length. Their secondary structure includes four short double-helical elements and three loops (D, anti-codon, and T loops). Further hydrogen bonds mediate the characteristic L-shaped molecular structure. tRNAs have two regions of fundamental functional importance: the anti-codon, which is responsible for specific mRNA codon recognition, and the 3' end, to which the tRNAs corresponding amino acid is attached (by aminoacyl-tRNA synthetases). tRNAs cope with the degeneracy of the genetic code in two manners: having more than one tRNA (with a specific anti-codon) for a particular amino acid; and 'wobble' base-pairing, i.e. permitting non-standard base-pairing at the 3rd anti-codon position. The record is from Rfam by way of RNAcentral. RNAcentral also lists the same sequence under 1 other name. Lineage: Bacteria; Bacillati; Actinomycetota; Actinomycetes; Micromonosporales; Micromonosporaceae.
GCGGUUGUAGCUCAGUCCGGCCAGAGCGCCGCCUCGCCAUGGCGGAGGUCCCGGGUUCGAAUCCCGGCUGCCGCU